CAACUGAUCGAGGUUUGAGCCCAUGUUAAUUGUCCAAUAAAACCACACUUUGGGAACACUAUUUUGAAGUUGAUAACCACAAUAUUAUUACAGUUUAAAAUUUCGCGAGUGAAAAAGUUUAAAUGAGUGGAGGAUCCCAUAUUUCACAUGACCAGUGACUCACACCUAGUUGAUUUAUUACUCGUUCCACACUUUUGUACCAUGACGUCGGAUGUGUUUCUUCUUGUGAAACAUUAAGCGAAGAAACUGCCUCAUUUUUCUCUCACCAUCCGAUCUACAUCCUCACUGGCAUGAACUGAUCUCCGCCAGUCACCAUUCCAUCCCAUAGAAGCAAAUAUUGAUCACACAGUUACUUCAUCAAAAUGCCAUAAGAGUGUCACAUAUGUGCCAGCCUAAGUAGGAGCAAAGAUCAUGAGAGCAAGCAGUGUGAGUACCUAAACCUGUAAACUAAGAUGGAGGGAAUUCCAAUAAUUGAAACUAAUAUGUGCACAUUGUAGUUUUUGUGAUGGAUUAUCAAUCUCGAGUAGUAGUGUGUUAUGUGGUUAGUAUGUAAAAUUCAUAUACAUGUUCUUUGGAGAUGAAACAAAUAAUAUGUCAAUAAGACUGGAUAAUUCUAAGAGAAAGAAGUAAAAUAACUGUCAAAAGAAAGAGAAAGAAGUAAAACGAGAAACAUGUUAUUCUUCUUUUGCUGACAAAAACCUAGCUUUCUCCUUAUAAGAGUUGAGUGGUAGGAUUGAUAUGAAGUCAUGGAUCCUUCUGAAGGUGAACAUCUAAGCAUCCCUUGAAUAUGAGCUUGGUCCAUCUGUGUUACAGGCUAUGAGAGGUUUCAAUAAACGAGGAAUUAAUUCUGUGAGGCUUUUCUUUUUUGGAAGGAAAUUCCGUAUUGAACUUCUGACGUCUAUAUUAAGCUGAUGCAUGUAGCCAACACACAACUUACUAUUACAAACUUCAUGGACAAGAACCCUGAAGGCUAAUGUUUUAUCCUUGAGAAAUAGCAGUCUAAAUAGAACCAAUGUUGCAUGGUCCAAAUGCCAUGUUGCAUUGACAAACUAGUGCCUUUCUUGAGUUGGGACGGACACACCUUAUAGCCUCCCUGCAUGGAUUCCCAAAACAACACAAUUCCACAUUAAACAAAUAUCACGAUCAUAUUAUGCACUUCUAGUUGUUCCUCAAUAAUAAACAAUAUGAAAAUA
Molecule: long non-coding RNA, 1193 nt
Filed under: Hordeum vulgare
Lineage: Eukaryota; Viridiplantae; Streptophyta; Magnoliopsida; Poales; Poaceae
Description: long non-coding RNA (HVUL_LNC014298)
Source: RNAcentral